CUCCGGUUUGCAGAAGCCAAUUAGAAAUCCUAACUGUACCUGGAUACAGUACCUCCAGAAUUCUGUAACUCUCCUCGAAAGCCAAUUCUUCUUCUGCAUCUUCAUCCAUGGAUUUUUGCUGCAAUUCGCAUCAUUGCUCGCAUGGAGGCCGCCUCCUCAUAUUUGAAUUUGCCAAAAAUGUUAUGAAUUGAUACAGAUUUUCUCGCCCACUAGUGUGGCUUCCGGGAGAAGCAAGUUUUGCCGACUCACGAAUCCUCACCAGUUUGGACAGAAACCAUGCUGUGAAUGUACUGGAUCGAUCGGCUUGGUAGCAGAGAUCCCUGAUUUGAGAACAUCGUAUCCGUCAAUACAAUGAAUCCAAAGUAAUCGAAAUCAAGUUGUCCUGAUGAACUUCCUGUUGCUACGAAACCCUAAUUAGCCAUGACAAUUGCGAUCAACGUGGCAAAGUUUUACCCUCGUUGUACGGUACGCCCGCGAAGCAUCUUAUAUCUGUUAAUUAAUUCUAGAUGUGAUAGAUAGUGAUCAUGCUCAACUGACGGUGCACAGGUGUAAUCUAAGGAUUAGCUUGUGGUUAUUCCUAAUUUUUCAGUUGCUUGUUGACUAGAUUGCCCAGAAUGUCGCCGGCGGCGAAGCCUUAGGUCUCGGGCAGUUCAUUUAUUGUUCGUAAUAAUUAAUUAAAAUAAUGAGCCAGCACUGUUUCAAGUUACAACAAUGACCUUUUGUUGAACGAGUAAUCAUAGAAUUGACGUGUAUAUAAUUGAAGUUUAUGCAUGGAAGCUAGUAGUAAAUUAUAU
Long non-coding RNA from Diospyros lotus (date-plum), 794 nucleotides. RefSeq lists it as uncharacterized. The record is from RefSeq and is a predicted model, not a curated record. NCBI's taxonomy places the organism in Eukaryota, Viridiplantae, Streptophyta, Magnoliopsida, Ericales, Ebenaceae. The transcript has 3 exons.